UGCUAGUCGAGCGAGUUCAGACUCGCGGCGCAUAGCUCAGUAACACGUGGCCAAGCUCCCCUUCAGUCAGCGAUACCCUCGGGAAACUGAGGCUAAUAGCUGAUACUCGACGCCAGCUGGAAUGCGGCGUCGUCGAAAGACAUCGCUGAAGGAUGCGGCUGCGGCCGAUUAGGUAGACGGUGGGGUAACGGCCCACCGUGCCAGUAAUCGGUACGGGUGAUGAGAGUCAGAGCCCGGAGACGGAAUCUGAGACAAGAUUCCGGGCCCUACGGGGCGCAGCAGGCGCGAAACCUUUACACUGCACGGAAGUGCGAUAGGGGAAUCCCAAGUGCGAGGGCAUAUUAGCCCUCGCUUUUGUUGACUGUAAGGUGGUCAACGAAUAAGAGCUGGGCAAGACCGGUGCCAGCCGCCGCGGUAAUACCGGCAGCUCAAGUGAUGUCCCAUAUUAUUGGGCCUAAAGCGUCCGUAGCUGGCCAACCAAGUCCAUCGGGAAAUCCACCCGCCCAACGGGUGGGCGUCCGGUGGAAACUGGCUGGCUUGGAACCGGAAGGCUCAGAGAGUACGUCCGGGGUAGGAGUGAAAUCCCGUAAUCCCGGACGGACUACCGAUGGCGAAAGCACUCUGAGAAGACGGCUUCGACAGUGAGGGACGAAAGCUAGGGUCUCAAACCGGAUUAGAUACCCGGGUAGUCCUAGCUGUAAACGAUGCUCGUUAGGUGUGGCACCCACUACGAGUGGGUGCUGUGCCGU
This 749-nucleotide ribosomal RNA is filed under the name uncultured archaeon. RNAcentral's name for it is "bacterial SSU rRNA". It matches the Rfam family "Archaeal small subunit ribosomal RNA", at positions 52 to 804 of the family's 1478-position model. The record is from RNAcentral.